CUGGAUCUCACUGGAUCCUUCACUGCUAAAGGACCCCCAUCGCGGUUCCUAAGAUCCUUAGGACCCACCUGGAGGACUGUGGGUAUGGGGUGUCCAAGAAGAAAGCUCAGAUCUGCCCACGGCAGGUACCUUACUUGGGAUUUACAAUCGACAGGGGUCCGAACGCAGCCCGGGAAAAGAAAGAAAGCAGGACCCCCAUCGCAGGAGUCGGAGGCACCCCCCGCGAGGCGGGGACUGAGAGAGAGCUCCUCUUCCCCCCCAGGAUCUUAGGACCCCCAUCGCGGGGGGGGAGGCACUCCCGCCAGGAUCCCCAUCGCAAGGGGGGAAGACACCGCCCACGAGUCGGGGACUGAGAGCCAGCCCCUCUUCCCCCGCUGGCUUAGGACCCCCACCGCGGAUUCUAAGAUCCUUAGCACCCACCUGGAGGACUGGGGGUUUUAGGUGUCCAAGAAGAAAGCUCAGACCUGCCGACCGCAGGUACCUUACCUGGGAUUUACUAUCCGACAGGGGUCCGAACGCAGCUCGGGAUCAGAAAAAAAGCAGGUCAUUUGCAAUCUACCAGAGCCAGCCCCUCUUCCCCCCCUUGCUCUUAGGACCUCCAUCGCAGCGGGGCAGGCACACACCGCGAGGCGGGAACUGAGAGCCAGCCCCUCCCACCUCUGGCUCUUAGGACUCACAUUGCAAGUGGGGGAGGCAUCCUCCGCGAGGCGCGGACUGAGAGCCAGCCCCUCUUCCCCCCCUGGCUCUAGGGACCCCCAUCGCAGGGGGUGGAGGCACCCCACGCGAUUCGGGGACUGAGAGCCAGCCCCUCUCCUUCCCCCUGCUCUUCGGACCCCCAUCGCAGGGCGGGGAGGCACCCACCGCGAGGCGGGGACUGAGAGCCAGCCCCUCUACCCCCCGUGGCUCUUAGGAGCCCCAUCGCAGGGUGGGAGGCCACCCGGCGAGGCGAGGAUUGAGAGCCAGCCCGUCUUCCCCCCUUGGCUCUUAGGAGCCCCAUCGCGGGUGGGGAAGGCACCCCCCGCGAGGCAGGGACUGAGAGCCAGCCUCUCUUCCUCCCGUGGCUCUUAGGACCCCCAUCGCAGUGGGGGGAGGCACCCCCCGCGAGGCGGGGACUGAGAGCAAGCCCAUUUCCCCCCCCCCCGGCUCUUAGGACACCCAACGCAGAGGGGGGAGGCACCCCCUGCGAGGCAGGAACUGAGAGCCAGACCCACUUCUCCCCGGCUCUUGGGAUCCCCAUCGCGGGGAGGGGAGGCACCCCACACGAGGCGGGGACUGAGAGCCAGCCCCUCUUCCCCCCCUGGCUAUUAGGACCCCCAUCGCAGGGGGGAGAGGCACCCCCCGAGAGGCAGGGACGGAGAGCCUGCACCUCUUCCCCCACGGGCUCUUAGGACCCCCAUCGCAGGCGCUUCGCACCCCACGCGAGGCGGGUACUGAGAGCCAGCUCCUCUUUCCCCCGUCUCUUAGGACUGCCAUCGCAGAGGGGGAGGUAACCCCCGCCAGGCAGGGACUGACAGCCAGCCCCUCUUCACCUCUGGCUCUUAGGCCCCCAUCGCAGAGUGGGGAGGCACCACAUGCGAGGCGGGGACUGCGAGCCAGCCCCACUUCCCCCCUGGCUCUUGGGACCACCAUCGCAGUGGGGGGAGGUACACCCCGCGAGGCGGGGACGGAGAGUCAGCCCCUCUUCCCCCACUGGCUCUUGGGAACCCCAUCGCAAGGGGGAGAGGCACCCUCCGCGACGCGGGGACUGAGAGACAGCCCCUCUUCCCCCCCUGGCUCUAGGGACCCCCAUCGCAGGGGGUGGAGGCACCCCACGCGAUGCGGGGACUGAGAGCCAGCCCCUCUCCGCCCCCCCCGACCCCGCCCGGGUCUUCGGACCCCCAUCGCAGUGGGGGGAGGCACCCCAUGCGAGGCGGGGUCUGACAGCCAAACCCUCUUCCCCCUCUGGCUCUUAUGACCCCCAUAGCAAGGGGGGAGGCACCCCCCGCGAGGCGGGGACUAGAGCCAGCCCCUCUUCCCACCCUGGCUUAGGACCCCCAUCGCGGAUCCUAAGAUCCUUAGGACCCAACUGGAGGACUGUGGGUAUUAGGUGUCCAAGAAGAAAGCUCAGAUCUGCCGACCGCAGGUACCUUACUUGGGAUUUACUAUACCACAGGGGUCCGAACGCAGCCCGGGAUCAGGAAGAAAGCAGGUCGUUUGCAAUCUACCGGAGCCUAAGGGCAGAAGGCAGGAUCGUGGGAACAAUAUCCCAGGGGGGUUUCCACUUUCUGCCAUAUAUGUAGUCACAUCGCCCACUCCGCCUUGGAAUAUUAUUAAGGACCAUCUAACACGAGGGUGUAUACGUCCUGCGAUAUUACGAGUAAUAUCAACUUCUUGGCCUCUGAAUAUGAGGAAGAAUAUCACAGGGGGUCCGAAUGCAGCCCGGGAUCACAAAGAAAGCAGGUCGUUUGCAAUCUACCAGAGCCUAAGGGCAGAAGGCAGGAUCGUGGGAACAAUAUCCCAUGGGGGUGUACCCUUUCUGCCAUAUAUGUAGUCACAUCACCCACUCCGCCUUGGAAUAUUAUUAAGGACCAUCUAACACGAGGGUGUAUACGUCCUGUGAUAUUGGGAGUAAUAUCAACUUCUCGGCCUCUGAAUAUGAGGAAGAAUAUCACAGGGAUAUUAAUAACAAUUUCACAGGCUGGGUGAACACAGCCGGCGAUGCUGAAAUUAUUAUCAUCCUCUCCCCCUCUUCCCCUCCUGGCUCUCAGUCCCCGCCUCACGGGUUAUGUAGCGGGUUAUGGCAAGAAGACAAACUGCAGUUUCCUGCACAGAACAGCACAAACAAUGAUCCAAGCUCAGUUACAACACAAUAUUGGUCAUCAUUUGACCAUGGACUUCAAUAUCAACCCUUAGAAACCUUCCUAAAACAGGUCAGCAAAACACCAAGAAGCAAUAUCCUGAAUGAUAGGAAAAUAUCCUUGCUUGUGCAAAUUGUUUCCACUUAAUUUUUUUCAACAAAUGUUAAUUAUAUUUUUACUUUCUAAAAAUUUUUAAUAAAAUAUAGCCUACUUGGUUAAAAAUGGUGUCAAAGCUUUUCUAAAAGUUAAGGC
RNAcentral lists this long non-coding RNA (3089 nucleotides) under Homo sapiens (human). RNAcentral's name for it is "HSALNT0367514". The record is from RNAcentral. Lineage: Eukaryota; Metazoa; Chordata; Mammalia; Primates; Hominidae.